RNAcentral lists this ribosomal RNA (487 nucleotides) under uncultured bacterium. Its description in RNAcentral is "bacterial SSU rRNA". It matches the Rfam family "Bacterial small subunit ribosomal RNA", at positions 501 to 987 of the family's 1533-position model. The record is from RNAcentral.
CUACGUGCCAGCAGCCGCGGUAAUACGUAGGGUGCGAGCGUUAAUCGGAAUUACUGGGCGUAAAGCGAGCGCAGACGGUUACUUAASCAGGAUGUGAAAUCCCCAGGCUCAACCUGGGAACUGCGUUCUGAACUGGGUGACUAGAGUGUGUCAGAGGGAGGUAGAAUUCCACGUGUAGCAGUGAAAUGCGUAGAGAUGUGGAGGAAUACCGAUGGCGAAGGCAGCCUCCUGGGAUAACACUGACGUUCAUGCUCGAAAGCGUGGGUAGCAAACAGGAUUAGAUACCCUGGUAGUCCACGCCCUAAACGAUGUCAAUUAGCUGUUGGGCAACUUGAUUGCUUAGUAGCGUAGCUAACGCGUGAAAUUGACCGCCUGGGGAGUACGGUCGCAAGAUUAAAACUCAAAGGAAUUGACGGGGACCCGCACAAGCGGUGGAUGAUGUGGAUUAAUUCGAUGCAACGCGAAGAACCUUACCUGGUCUUGACAU